UAGGGAAUCUUCCACAAUGGACGCAAGUCUGAUGGAGCAACGCCGCGUGAGUGAAGAAGGCUUUCGGGUCGUAAAACUCUGUUAUUGAAGAAGAACGUGUGUGACAGUAACUGGUCAUGCAGUGACGGUAUUCAAUCAGAAAGUCACGGCUAACUACGUGCCAGCAGCCGCGGUAAUACGUAGGUGGCAAGCGUUGUCCGGAUUUAUUGGGCGUAAAGCGAGUGCAGGCGGUCUUUUAAGUCUGAUGUGAAAGCCUUCGGCUUAAACCGAAGAAAGGGCAUCG
This 283-nucleotide ribosomal RNA is filed under the name uncultured bacterium. Its description in RNAcentral is "partial 16S ribosomal RNA". It matches the Rfam family "Bacterial small subunit ribosomal RNA", at positions 355 to 628 of the family's 1533-position model. The record is from RNAcentral.